GAUGAACGCUGGCGGCGUGCCUAAUACAUGCAAGUAGAACGCUGAAGCUUGGUGCUUGCACCGAGCGGAAGAGUUGCGAACGGGUGAGUAACGCGUAGGUAACCUGCCUCUUAGCGGGGGAUAACUAUUGGAAACGAUAGCUAAUACCGCAUAAAAGUCGGCAUUGCAUGAUGUUGACUUGAAAGGUGCAACUGCAUCACUAAGAGAUGGACCUGCGUUGUAUUAGCUAGUUGGUGAGGUAACGGCUCACCAAGGCGACGAUACAUAGCCGACCUGAGAGGGUGAUCGGCCACACUGGGACUGAGACACGGCCCAGACUCCUACGGGAGGCAGCAGUAGGGAAUCUUCGGCAAUGGACGGAAGUCUGACCGAGCAACGCCGCGUGAGUGAAGAAGGUUUUCGGAUCGUAAAGCUCUGUUGUAAGAGAAGAACGAG
RNAcentral lists this ribosomal RNA (435 nucleotides) under Streptococcus parasanguinis. Its description in RNAcentral is "bacterial SSU rRNA". It matches the Rfam family "Bacterial small subunit ribosomal RNA", at positions 28 to 453 of the family's 1533-position model. The record is from RNAcentral. Lineage: Bacteria; Bacillati; Bacillota; Bacilli; Lactobacillales; Streptococcaceae.